AGGGUUUGAUCAUGGCUCAGGACGAACGCUGGCGGUGCGCCUUAUGCAUGCAAGUCGAGCGAAGCUUUUCAGUAGUUUACUACAGAAAAUGACUGAGCGGCGAACGGGUGAGUAACGCGUGAGCAAUCUACCUUAGUUACAGGGAUAGCCCGAGGAAACUCGGAUUAAUACCUGAUAUUCUUUAUUUCUCGCAUGAGAAUAAAAGGAAAGGUCAGCCGAACUAAGAUGAGCUCGCGUUCUAUCAGCUAGUUGGUGAGGUAAAAGCUUACCAAGGCUACGACGGAUAGCUGGUCUGAGAGGACGAUCAGCCACACUGGGACUGAGACACGGCCCAGACUCCUACGGGAGGCUGCAGCAGGGAAUAUUGUGCAAUGAACGAAAGUUUGACACAGCGACACCGCGUGUGGGAUGACGGAUCUAGGUUUGUAAACCACUUUCAGGGGGGAAGAAAAUGACGGUACCUCCACAAGAAGCCCCGGCCAACUACGUGCCAGCCGCCGCGGUAAUAC
Molecule: ribosomal RNA, 509 nt
Filed under: uncultured bacterium
Lineage: Bacteria
Description: bacterial SSU rRNA
Rfam family: Bacterial small subunit ribosomal RNA
Source: RNAcentral